Molecule: ribosomal RNA, 624 nt
Filed under: uncultured Enterobacteriaceae bacterium
Lineage: Bacteria; Pseudomonadati; Pseudomonadota; Gammaproteobacteria; Enterobacterales; Enterobacteriaceae
Description: bacterial SSU rRNA
Rfam family: Bacterial small subunit ribosomal RNA
Source: RNAcentral
CGCCCUUAGAGUUUGAUCAUGGCUCAGAUUGAACGCUGGCGGCAGGCUUAACACAUGCAAGUCGAACGGUAUAGGUGCUUGCACCUGACGAGUGGCGGACGGGUGAGUAAUGUAUGGGGAUCUGCCGAAUGGAUUGGGACAACCACUGGAAACGGUGGCUAAUACCGAAUAAUGUUGAGAGACCAAAGUGUUUCGACAUGCCAUUUGAUGAACCCAUAUGGGAUUAGCUAGUAGGCGGGGUAAUGGCCCACCUAGGCGACGAUCUCUAGCUGGUCUGAGAGGAUGACCAGCCACACUGGGACUGAGACACGGCCCAGACUCCUACGGGAGGCAGCAGUGGGGAAUAUUGCACAAUGGGGGAAACCCUGAUGCAGCCAUGCCGCGUGUAUGAAGAAGGCCUUCGGGUUGUAAAGUACUUUCGGUAGUGAGGAAGGUUACUAUUAACAUAGUAAAUUGACGUUAAUUACAGAAGAAGCACCGGCUAACUCCGUGCCAGCAGCCGCGGUAAUACGGAGGGUGCGAGCGUUAAUCGGAAUGACUGGGCGUAAAGGGCAUGUAGGUGGAUAAUUAAGUUAGGUGUGAAAGCCCCGAGCUCACUUGGGAAUUGCACUUUAAACUGGGUUA